UGAAGAAGGCCUUCGGGUUGUAAAGCACUUUCAGUCGUGAGGAAGGUAGUGUAGUUAAUAGCUGCAUUAUUUGACGUUAGCGACAGAAGAAGCACCGGCUAACUCCGUGCCAGCAGCCGCGGUAAUACGGAGGGUGCGAGCGUUAAUCGGAAUUACUGGGCGUAAAGCGCAUGCAGGUGGUUUGUUAAGUCAGAUGUGAAAGCCCGGGGCUCAACCUCGGAAUUGCAUUUGAAACUGGCAGACUAGAGUACUGUAGAGGGGGGUAGAAUUUCAGGUGUAGCGGUGAAAUGCGUAGAGAUCUGAAGGAAUACCGGUGGCGAAGGCGGCCCCCUGGACAGAUACUGACACUCAGAUGCGAAAGCGUGGGGAGCAAACAGGAUUAGAUACCCUGGUAGUCCACGCCGUAAACGAUGUCUACUUGGAGGUUGUGGCCUUGAGCCGUGGCUUUCGGAGCUAACGCGUUAAGUAGACCGCCUGGGGAGUACGGUCGCAAGAUUAAAACUCAAAUGAAUUGACGGGGGCCCGCACAAGCGGUGGAGCAUGUGGUUUAAUUCGAUGCAACGCGAAGAACCUUACCUACUCUUGACAUCCAGAGAACUUUCCAGAGAUGGAUUGGUGCCUUCGGGAACUCUGAGACAGGUGCUGCAUGGCUGUCGUCAGCUCGUGUUGUGAAAUGUUGGGUUAAGUCCCGCAACGAGCGCAACCCUUAUCCUUGUUUGCCAGCGAGUAAUGUCGGGAACUCCAGGGAGACUGCCGGUGAUAAACCGGAGGAAGGUGGGGACGACGUCAAGUCAUCAUGGCCCUUACGAGUAGGGCUACACACGUGCU
RNAcentral lists this ribosomal RNA (828 nucleotides) under Vibrio parahaemolyticus. RNAcentral's name for it is "bacterial SSU rRNA". It matches the Rfam family "Bacterial small subunit ribosomal RNA", at positions 406 to 1226 of the family's 1533-position model. The record is from RNAcentral. Lineage: Bacteria; Pseudomonadati; Pseudomonadota; Gammaproteobacteria; Vibrionales; Vibrionaceae.